RNAcentral lists this long non-coding RNA (225 nucleotides) under Ictidomys tridecemlineatus (thirteen-lined ground squirrel). RNAcentral describes it as "lncRNA (ENSSTOG00000030948.1)". Lineage: Eukaryota; Metazoa; Chordata; Mammalia; Rodentia; Sciuridae. The record is from RNAcentral.
CGGGGACCCGGCGGCGCCAGCUUCCCCCGGCGCGCAGAGCCGGGAGGCGCGGACGAGAUACCUCUGCACCUUCAGGAGACUUGCAGGUUGCCUGGCAACCAGAGGAGGCCGGUCACGACUAGAUGCUUCAGCACCCAGCUUAGGCCACUGGCCUGGCAGACUCCCCUGAGAGCCGUGCCUGUGUCCACAGGCUGCAUCAUCAGGCAUAGAGACUUGGAGUAGCCC